AACGAACGCUGGCGGCAUGCCUAACACAUGCAAGUCGAACGAGACCUUCGGGUCUAGUGGCGCACGGGUGCGUAACGCGUGGGAAUCUGCCCUUGGGUUCGGAAUAACAGUUAGAAAUGACUGCUAAUACCGGAUAAUGUCUUCGGACCAAAGAUUUAUCGCCCAGGGAUGAGCCCGCGUAGGAUUAGCUAGUUGGUGAGGUAAAGGCUCACCAAGGCGACGAUCCUUAGCUGGUCUGAGAGGAUGAUCAGCCACACUGGGACUGAGACACGGCCCAGACUCCUACGGGAGGCAGCAGUGGGGAAUAUUGGGACAAUGGGCGAAAGCCUGAUCCAGCAAUGCCGCGUGAGUGAUGAAGGCCUUAGGGUUGUAAAGCUCUUUUACCCGGGAUGAUAAUGACAGUACCGGGAGAAUAAGCCCCGGCUAACUCCGUGCCAGCAGCCGCG
RNAcentral lists this ribosomal RNA (446 nucleotides) under uncultured bacterium. RNAcentral describes it as "bacterial SSU rRNA". It matches the Rfam family "Bacterial small subunit ribosomal RNA", at positions 29 to 519 of the family's 1533-position model. The record is from RNAcentral.